Non-coding RNA from Cajanus cajan (pigeon pea), 1016 nucleotides. NCBI's taxonomy places the organism in Eukaryota, Viridiplantae, Streptophyta, Magnoliopsida, Fabales, Fabaceae. The record is from RefSeq and is a predicted model, not a curated record.
AAUGAGGAUCAUGAAUCUUUGUGUCUAUUGCACGUGAUCACAAGCAAUAUUAAUUGUGAUUUGUGUAAUUUACCCUCCCAAUGAUUUGUGUCUAUUGAAUGAUUGAGAAUUAGACAUAAAGAGGAACAACUUUUGUAGCCUCAACGCAAAUGAAUGGAAGGUUGGACAAGAUUGUUAAUUAGUUGAGUGAAUGUGAAGUUAAGGCGUAGAACACAACAUCUGAUAGAUAGAUAGAUAGGCACAAAUGCAAAUGGAAGUGGGACAGAUCAGAGAUAUGCUAAAUUGCGUACACGCAACGGCUACACAAGCUUUGCUGCCUCUAGCUUCCUCACACCUAAGGAUCUUUUGGCUAGGCAGAGAUCCACAGCCAUGGAGCUUGAGCUGUGGAAGUCUAGGAAGGAUUUAGAGGUCCAGAGACUUGCAGCUAUAGCUGUGAUUCUGCAGCUAUAGCUGUGGAAAUCUGGAGUGCUCAUUUUUUGUUCCAGAGAGCGUUGAGGCUUGGGAAAUCAAGAGAAGCCACAGAGACUCACAGCCAUGGCUGUGGUUCCACAGCUACAGCUCAGGAAGUUGCUUAAUAAUGAAGGAGUCUCCACAGCCAUGGCUGCAAAGCUACAGCUGCAGCGCCAGAAGUUACUUCACCUUGAAGGAUUCUCCACAGCCAUAGCUGUGGUUCUACAGCUGCAGCGGUGGAGUUAAAAAUUUCACUUUUUGCCCAGUUUUAGAGCUGAUAUAAAAGGGAAAAAGGAGGAGAACCUAAAAAAAGAAUACGGAUCACGAAUUUAACAGAGAAAAACAGGGGAAAAGCUUGGGAAGAAGGAAGAACGAAGGAAGAACAGAGACUUGGAAGCUGGAUCCUUUGGGAACGAAGAUCAACUCCAUUUCUUCAUCCUUUGCUUUGUAAUUUCUUCUUUUCACUCUUUGAUUCUGUAAUGGCCAUGGGUGGCUAAACUUCUUAAGGAUUGGUUAGAUGUAACUACUAACUCCUCUUCUUCUUAAAUAUAUGCAUUUUGAUCUCA